CUUUUUCUUACUCUGAGAAAGCUUAGAUUCUUUGGGGAAAUAGCAUGGAUUCCCUAGCUCUCUUCUUUAGGGAAUGCACAGGAGCUAGAAAAGGCGAUCUCCAGAUUAUGUCACAUGGUGAGGGUAGGGAAGAAAGGAGAAAGGAUGGCAUUUUGGGGAAAUACGUCAGCACACAGUUUUGGGAGGAAGAUUUGCUUACUCAAUUUGUCUUUAAACCAAAGCAUCUGUUUUGGUCAUUAAAGUAAAACAUCUUGGAUGAUUAAAAAAAAUGCCCUAUUCGUUCAUUUUGACCUAUAUAUGCUCCUAGACCACAUUUUGAGAAAUAAUCAAGAAAAAUGUAUCCUCCAAUAAUUUUACUUGCUUUGUCAAUGUGUUCCCAAAUAACAUGACUUGAUUCUUGAUUCUCCCUAAUCCAUUUGAUUACCUUCCUUCCUGCCCUCACCACCUUUGAAAUAAAAACUACUGUUAUCAGCUAAAGAAUCUCAGAACACGCUUUUCUGUUACCAGAACAAAGGGUUAAGCUAAAGGUGUGGUUUACUUUCUAUCCUCUGAGUCAUGGAGCGUAUACAUAUACUCAUCAUUGUCUUUUCUGUUCCUGGCUACUUAUCUUUCUUUCAUCUUCAUCUUUAUCUGUAACCUACAUCUCAUAAGCUGAGUAUGCAAGAUUUUCAGUCCCUCAAAGCAUCAUCUACCCUGGGUAGAGACACAAACAGAUCUGGGGCUGCAGCUGUUGCCUGAGUCUUCUCCUUCCGGACUAAGGGAACUGUAUUCUGCAAGAAAAGCCUACAUGCAAAAAUCACAUUUUACCUGCUCUUUAAUAAUUUCCUUUUCAUCCUUUUCCCAGCCACUUUCUCAAAAACACAUAGAAAGCUUUGCUUUUGGUUCUAAGCUGUAAGGAAUCAAAGAAAGAAGAGAGGAAUGGCAGAAGAUCUAGAUCUGGGGUCAUUGAGGU
Molecule: long non-coding RNA, 952 nt
Filed under: Homo sapiens (human)
Lineage: Eukaryota; Metazoa; Chordata; Mammalia; Primates; Hominidae
Description: HSALNT0010056
Source: RNAcentral